GAGCUCACUUCCGCAGCACAUGUACUAGAACUGGAACAAUACAGAGAUUAGCAUGGCCCCUGCGCAAGGAUGACACUCAAAUAGUGCUACUGUCCUCCCAGCAAU
Molecule: small nuclear RNA, 105 nt
Organism: Aotus nancymaae (Ma's night monkey)
Lineage: Eukaryota; Metazoa; Chordata; Mammalia; Primates; Aotidae
Source: Ensembl